CCUGGAUCAUCUCAAGAACAAAGAUCUGAAGGAGAUCAACCACCAUUGGAAGAAGUUGCAGGGGCGAUGUCUUGACUUUGACUACAAAAAGAAAAAGCAAGCAAAAGAUUGGUGGGUUGGGUAAGAUCAAGACCAACACAAUCAUCA
Molecule: long non-coding RNA, 147 nt
Organism: Patiria miniata (bat star)
Lineage: Eukaryota; Metazoa; Echinodermata; Asteroidea; Valvatida; Asterinidae
Exons: 3
Source: RefSeq, a predicted model, not a curated record